GGAAUAUUGGACAAUGGGCGCAAGCCUGAUCCAGCCAUGCCGCGUGAGUGAUGAAGGCCUUAGGGUUGUAAAGCUCUUUUAGCGGGGACGAUAAUGACGGUACCCGCAGAAAAAGCCCCGGCUAACUUCGUGCCAGCAGCCGCGGUAAUACGAAGGGGGCUAGCGUUGCUCGGAAUCACUGGGCGUAAAGCGCACGUAGGUGGGUUCUUAAGUCAGGGGUGAAAUCCUGGAGCUCAACUCCAGAACUGCCUUUGAUACUGGGAAUCUUCGAGUCCGGGAGAGGUGGGUGGAACUGCGAGUGUAGAGGUGAAAUUCGUAGAUAUUCGCAAGAACACCAGUGGCGAAGGCGGCUCACUGGCCCGGUACUGACACUGAGGUGCGAAAGCGUGGGGAGCAAAC
RNAcentral lists this ribosomal RNA (399 nucleotides) under uncultured bacterium. RNAcentral's name for it is "bacterial SSU rRNA". It matches the Rfam family "Bacterial small subunit ribosomal RNA", at positions 358 to 773 of the family's 1533-position model. The record is from RNAcentral.